This 430-nucleotide ribosomal RNA is filed under the name uncultured bacterium. Its description in RNAcentral is "bacterial SSU rRNA". It matches the Rfam family "Bacterial small subunit ribosomal RNA", at positions 355 to 776 of the family's 1533-position model. The record is from RNAcentral.
UAGGGAAUUUUGCGCAAUGGGGGAAACCCUGACGCAGCGACGCCGCGUGAGUGAUGAAGGCCUUCGGGUUGUAAAGCUCUGUCAGAUGGGACGAAUGUUUUCAGGUCAAAUAGGCCUGGGAAGUGACGGUACCAUCGGAGGAAGCACCGGCUAACUCUGUGCCAGCAGCCGCGGUAAUACAGAGGGUGCAAGCGUUAAUCGGAAUUACUGGGCGUAAAGAGUGCGUAGGCGGUUAGGUAAGUUAUCUGUGAAAUCCCUGGGCUUAACCUAGGUAGGAAAGAUAAAACUGCUUGACUAGAGUGUGGUAGAGGAUAGUGGAAUUUCCGGUGUAGCGGUGAAAUGCGUAGAGAUCGGAAGGAACACCAGUGGCGAAGGCGGCUAUCUGGACCAACACUGACGCUGAGGCACGAAAGCGUGGGGAGCAAACAGG